UCCUACGGGAGGCAGCAGUGGGGAAUUUUGCGCAAUGGGGGCAACCCUGACGCAGCGACGCCGCGUGAGCGAAGAAGGCCUUCGGGUUGUAAAGCUCUGUCUAGGGGGAAGAUAGUGACGGUACCCCUGGAGGAAGCCCCGGCUAACUACGUGCCAGCAGCCGCGGUAAGACGUAGGGGGCGAGCGUUGUCCGGAAUUACUGGGCGUAAAGGGCGUGUAGGCGGCCUUUAAAGUCAGCUGUGAAAUCCCUUGGCUUAACUGAGGGCUUGCAGUUGAAACUUAAAGGCUUGAGUGCAGGAGAGGAAGGUGGAAUUCCCAGUGUAGCGGUGAAAUGCGUAGAUAUUGGGAGGAACACCGGUGGCGAAGGCGGCCUUCUGGCCUGUAACUGACGCUGAGGCGCGAAAGCUAGGGGAGCAAACAGGAUUAGAUACCCCGGUAGUC
This 441-nucleotide ribosomal RNA is filed under the name uncultured bacterium. RNAcentral's name for it is "bacterial SSU rRNA". It matches the Rfam family "Bacterial small subunit ribosomal RNA", at positions 337 to 795 of the family's 1533-position model. The record is from RNAcentral.